RNAcentral lists this ribosomal RNA (242 nucleotides) under uncultured bacterium. RNAcentral describes it as "partial 16S ribosomal RNA". It matches the Rfam family "Bacterial small subunit ribosomal RNA", at positions 90 to 334 of the family's 1533-position model. The record is from RNAcentral.
CGUGAGCGGCGGACGGGUGAGUAACGCGUGGGUAACCUGCCUCAUACAGGGGAUAACAGUUGGAAACGGCUGCUAAUACCGCAUAAGCGCACAGUACCGCAUGGUACGGUGUGAAAAACUCCGGUGGUAUGAGAUGGACCCGCGUCUGAUUAGGUAGUUGGUGGGUAACGGCCUACCAAGCCGACGAUCAGUAGCCGACCUGAGAGGGUGACCGGCCACAUUGGGACUGAGACACGGCCCAA